This 78-nucleotide transfer RNA is filed under the name Sutterella sp. CAG:351. RNAcentral's name for it is "transfer RNA-Asp(GTC)". It matches the Rfam family "tRNA". Rfam says of the family: Transfer RNA (tRNA) molecules are approximately 80 nucleotides in length. Lineage: Bacteria; Pseudomonadati; Pseudomonadota; Betaproteobacteria; Burkholderiales; Sutterellaceae. RNAcentral also lists the same sequence under 8 other names. The record is from RNAcentral.
GGAGUUGUAGCUCAGCUUGGUUAGAGCGACGGCCUGUCACGCCGUAGGUCGAGGGUUCGAGCCCCUUCAACUCCGCCA